UUGUACACACCGCCCGUCACACCAUGAGAGUUUGUAACACCCAAAGCCGGUGGGGUAACCUUUUAGGAGCCAGCCGUCUAAGGUGGGACAGAUGAUUAGGGUGAAGUCGUAACAAGGUAGCCGUAGGAGAACCUGCGGCUGGAUCACCUCCUUUCU
Molecule: ribosomal RNA, 156 nt
Filed under: Weissella paramesenteroides
Lineage: Bacteria; Bacillati; Bacillota; Bacilli; Lactobacillales; Lactobacillaceae
Also listed under: 1 other name
Description: partial 16S ribosomal RNA
Rfam family: Bacterial small subunit ribosomal RNA
Source: RNAcentral